UCCGUAGGUGAACCUGCGGAAGGAUCAUUAGUGAAUAAAUAGGGUGUCCAAUUUAACUUGGAACCCGACCUUCUCACAUCUAACCCUGUGCAUCUGUAUUUAAUGGCGAGCAAUUUUCGAAUUGUGAGCCAUUUCACUUUAUAAACACUAGUCUAUGAAUGUAAAAUUUUUAUAACAAUAAAAACUUUCAACAACGGAUCUCUUGGCUCUCGCAUCGAUGAAGAACGCAGCGAAAUGCGAUACGUAAUGUGAAUUGCAGAAUUCAGUGAAUCAUCGAAUCUUUGAACGCAUCUUGCGCUCUCUGGUAUUCCGGAGAGCAUGUCUGUUUGAGUGUCAUGAAUUCUUCAACCCAACUGUUUCUUGUAAACAGCUGGUGUUUGGAUUCUGAGCGCUGCUGGCUUCGUGCCUAGCUCGUUCGUAAUACAUCAGCAUCCCUAAUACAAGUUUGGAUUGACUUGGCGUAAUAGACUAUUCGCUAAGGAUUCAAUGUUCUGCAUUGAGCCAACUUAAUUAAGGAAGCUUCUAAUUGAAAAGUCUACCUUUAGAUUAGAUCUCAAAUCAGGCAGGAUUACCCGCUGAACUUAAGCAUAUCAAUAAGCGGAGGAAAAG
This 609-nucleotide ribosomal RNA is filed under the name Sporobolomyces sp. CBS 5541. RNAcentral's name for it is "eukaryotic LSU rRNA". The stretch from base 183 to 336 matches the Rfam family "5.8S ribosomal RNA". The record is from RNAcentral. Lineage: Eukaryota; Fungi; Basidiomycota; Microbotryomycetes; Sporidiobolales; Sporidiobolaceae.